AAUGAACGCUGGCGGCGUGCCUAAUACAUGCAAGUCGAGCGAACAGACGAGGAGCUUUCUCCUCUUACGUUAGCGGCGGACGGGUGAGUAACACGUAGAUAACCUACCUAUAAGACUGGGAUAACUUCGGGAAACCGGAUCUAAUACCGGAUAAUAUAUUGAACCGCAUGGUUCAAUAGUGCAAGACGGUUUUGCUGUCACUUAUAGAUGGUUCCGUGUCGCAUUAUCUAGUUGGUAAGGUAACGGCUUACCAAGGCAACGAUGCGUAUCCGACCUGAGAGGGUGAUCAGCCACACUGGAACUGAGACACGGUCCAGACUCCUACGGGAGGCAGCAGUGGGGAAUAUUGGACAAUGGGCGCAAGCCUGAUCCAGCCAUGCCGCGUGGGUGAAGAAGGCCUUCGGGUUGUAAAGCCCUUUUGUUGGGAAAGAAAAGCAGCAGGUUAAUACCCCGCUGUUCUGACGGUACCCAAAGAAUAAGCACCGGCUAACUUCGUG
RNAcentral lists this ribosomal RNA (497 nucleotides) under uncultured bacterium. RNAcentral's name for it is "partial 16S ribosomal RNA". It matches the Rfam family "Bacterial small subunit ribosomal RNA", at positions 29 to 507 of the family's 1533-position model. The record is from RNAcentral.